RNAcentral lists this small nuclear RNA (157 nucleotides) under Pteropus vampyrus (large flying fox). RNAcentral's name for it is "U2 spliceosomal RNA (ENSPVAG00000028981.1)". The stretch from base 1 to 114 matches the Rfam family "U2 spliceosomal RNA". From Rfam's summary of the family: U2 is a small nuclear RNA (snRNA) component of the spliceosome (involved in pre-mRNA splicing). Complementary binding between U2 snRNA (in an area lying towards the 5' end but 3' to hairpin I) and the branchpoint sequence (BPS) of the intron results the bulging out of an unpaired adenosine, on the BPS, which initiates a nucleophilic attack at the intronic 5' splice site, thus starting the first of two transesterification reactions that mediate splicing. Lineage: Eukaryota; Metazoa; Chordata; Mammalia; Chiroptera; Pteropodidae. The record is from RNAcentral.
CUCGCUUCUCGGCCUUUUGGCUAAGAUCAAGAGUAGUAUCUGUCCUUAUCAGUUUAAUAUCUGAUACGUCCUCUAUCCAAGUACCAUCUCUAAACUUAGUACUUACCAUCCUCACCUCGAUCAGCUUUCCAGGUCAGAUGAGAUCCAGGAAAUGAGG